This is a long non-coding RNA of Brassica oleracea var. oleracea, 724 nucleotides long. RefSeq lists it as uncharacterized. The record is from RefSeq and is a predicted model, not a curated record. Lineage: Eukaryota; Viridiplantae; Streptophyta; Magnoliopsida; Brassicales; Brassicaceae. The transcript is spliced from 3 exons.
CAUCUUUUUUUCAGGGUUUUACUCUACUGCGAUUCUGUGACCACAGAAGACCUCAGCUCUUCCUCCGUACCUCUUCGUCUCCUAAACACUCCGAACACCGCCUCUGUAACUUCAUCUGUUUCCGUAUUACAUCUCCUUAAAUCUCACCAUUUAUUUGAACCCACUACUCAUCCCACUCUUUCUCAAUUAAACAUUGUCAUUAUCAUCAAAGGUAACCGCUCGAAGCUUUUUAGUAUAAAUGUGUUUCUUCUCUACGAUGAGAAGCCACACUGCUACAUAAUCUCAAAUUCCAGACGUUGUCAAGCUUUGAAUCCAACAAUGGAUAAUUCCUACACGUUUCUUUCCAACACGCAGAGGUCCGCCUUCUCAGGUUUUGAAUGUCAAGAAAGUGGGCCAACUGAUGAGUGUCAACAUGCUCUUCCUGAAUGAGAAGGUAACUCCGACGAACUCAGUCUAAGUCGAUGAUGAUUCAAGGUUCUGUUAACGCACUCCGGCUCAAUGAUCAAACUCGAGUUUUAGUAGCAGUGUAGCGAAUAAAGAUGAUUAUCAAACCAUCACAUGUAUAUUAGCUGAAGAUGAGAGCUUAAGAAGAGGCAUCUUGCUCGGGACGAGAUUGUCUCAUUUAGAUUGAUUCAUGUUGGCCACAUAUGGGUUAGCUGAAGGAACAUUCAAUAGACUUUUUAUCUACGUUGCAUGGAAGCGUGUCUCGCGUACUGGUUCCUGG